Molecule: long non-coding RNA, 481 nt
Organism: Magallana angulata
Lineage: Eukaryota; Metazoa; Mollusca; Bivalvia; Ostreida; Ostreidae
Exons: 3
Source: RefSeq, a predicted model, not a curated record
ACUUGAAACUCUUGGACUUCUCUUGUACACAAGUCUGCUCUCUAAGAGCUUUAUAGGGUUUCGAACGUUCCAUGAGUUAGCUGAUCACCCCUACAUUCCAGAAUGGUUCGCACGACCGGUUUUUUAAAGUAAUUUUGAUUGAAAUUCCGAAGAAGUCGAGGUUUGAGUAGUUUACAGACAGACAUACAGAUACCGGUAGAUGGGCGCCAUCAGUCAAGAUAUCACGAGCCUAAAGCUCAGGUAAGCUAAAAACCUACUGAUGUUACAUGUUACUAAUUCCUCAAUUUCAAUCUAUCAAAGUGAUGUUUCAUAACGAAUCAUUCAAUGGGCACACCUGACAUAAUAGCUCCUCCAACUCGUUGGUUAAUGGUAGAUAGUUUGUCUUUCCUUAUUGAAUUCUAUAUAUAUUAUCUUAUGCUUCGUUUUACUUGAAAGAUUAUUACGUGGUUACUUAUUUUUUUCAAGUCUAUACAUUAAAUAA